UCUAUAACAGUUAAUACAUGCCCGGUAUCUUUAAUAGGUGCUACAAUAUCAAUACUAAUAAAAUCCCCAGGGCGAGUAGGUAUGUACACAUUUUUUAAGGGGGCUGGUUUGACAGAAUAAUGUUUGAUGCGAAUACAUGCAUCACAAGAUAACACAUAGUUUAACGUGUCAGCAUAGUAGCCUUUCCAA
This is a non-coding RNA of Parasteatoda tepidariorum (common house spider), 189 nucleotides long. The record is from RefSeq and is a predicted model, not a curated record. NCBI's taxonomy places the organism in Eukaryota, Metazoa, Arthropoda, Arachnida, Araneae, Theridiidae.